GGUGGUUCUUGGGUGACACACCCCGGAAUCAAGCUCCCUCCUUUCUGGUUCUGGGUGUGUUACCUGAGAACCCA
Myotis brandtii (Brandt's bat) is the source of this 74-nucleotide non-coding RNA. NCBI's taxonomy places the organism in Eukaryota, Metazoa, Chordata, Mammalia, Chiroptera, Vespertilionidae. The record is from Rfam.